This is an RNA transcript of Cebus imitator (Panamanian white-faced capuchin), 606 nucleotides long. It is a transcript of the gene named 40S ribosomal protein S20-like, with no coding region annotated. The record is from RefSeq and is a predicted model, not a curated record. The transcript is spliced from 3 exons. NCBI's taxonomy places the organism in Eukaryota, Metazoa, Chordata, Mammalia, Primates, Cebidae.
AUGAAGCCAAGAGAAUAUGGCUGUAUAAGAAGAAAAAUAAAUCCAUGCAUCUACAGUAUUGAGUUAAAGUGCCAAGAAAAGUUGUCAAGGCAAAUGAUUGACCUAUUCUUUCAGCAACUGUACAUGACAGCAAUAUUGUUGCGGGUUGUAGAUCCACUCCUGACUCACCGCUGUUCGCUCUGGUCCAGAAACAAGUCGGUCAGGAAGCCAUGCAGCAGCCACGGCUUUAAGGAUACCAGAAAAAUGCCCAUGGAGCCAGAGGUGGCAGUUCAUCAAAUCUGAAUCACUCUAUUGAGCUGCAACAUAAAAUCCCUGGAGAAGGUGUGUGCUGACUUCAUUAGAGGAGCAAAGGAAAAAAAUAGUGAAAGGACCAGUUCUAAUGCCUACCAAGACUUUGAGAAUCACUACAAGAAAAAUUCAUUGUGGUGAAGGUUCUAAAACAUGGGAUCGUUUCCAGAUGAGAAACCACAAGCAACUCAUUGACUUGCACAGUCCUUCUGAGAUUGUUAAGCAGAUUAAUUCCAUCAGUAUUAAGCCAGGAGUUGAGGUGGAAGUCACCAGUGCAGAUGCUUAAGUCAACUAUUUUAAUAAAUUGAUUACCAGUUG